Small nuclear RNA from Microtus ochrogaster (prairie vole), 107 nucleotides. The record is from Ensembl. NCBI's taxonomy places the organism in Eukaryota, Metazoa, Chordata, Mammalia, Rodentia, Cricetidae.
UUGCUCUUUCGGGCAGCACAUAUACUAAAAUCGGAACAAUACAGAGAAGAUUAGCACAGCCCCUUUGCAAGGAUGGCACACAUGUUUGUGAAAUGUUCCAUUAAAAA